Molecule: non-coding RNA, 71 nt
Filed under: bovine gut metagenome
Description: Glycine riboswitch
Rfam family: Glycine riboswitch aptamer
About the family: This family represents the bacterial glycine riboswitch.
Source: RNAcentral
GUCCGGGAGAGGAUCCGCGCCGCCGCGGAUCGCCGAAGGGGCAAAACUCUCAGGCAGAAGGACUGGACGGG